This 678-nucleotide long non-coding RNA is filed under the name Sus scrofa (pig). Lineage: Eukaryota; Metazoa; Chordata; Mammalia; Artiodactyla; Suidae. The record is from RNAcentral.
CCUCAGAACAGCUGUGGUUUCCCUGCUCUGCAGCACCUGGAGAGGGUGGGGCAGGGACGGCUCUCCUGAAUUCCAGUCGCUUGGGCCAUUUCUGGUGAGCUCCCUUCCAAAGAACCCAAGCCCAACCUGAAAGAUACCCAAGUCCAACUUGCAGGAGACAGUAAGGACCAGAAACCCAGUUGUUUCCUUCAUCCUUCUAGCUGUGUGUGGCUGUGUGCAGAGAAUUUUUCAGAGCAGGACCUCACUCCUGAAAUGUGUAUACCCUGAGUCCUCACAGAGGGUGUCUACAUGUGUCCCGCAUUUUCAUAAGGAUCACCCAGGCAGAGACAUAGGUCCUCUGGCUGCUCACAGUCACAGUGAUGGUGGCAAAGAUGUCCUCAGGGACCCCAGAAGCAAAAACUGCCAUCUUUCUAGAGGGGGUGGAGAAGACUUCAAAGAAGAGGAACCACUGAAGUAAGCAAGGAGGAAGGUUGAUUUACUAACAUUGCAAGAUUUUCCAUGUGGAGAGGCUCCAAGGAGGUUAUUUCAGCAGCUGUUCAGAGGAGCCAGGUCAUUUCUGUGUGUUUGCCCUGCAAUUCUCAGGUUGGGUUGGCCCUUGAUUGCCCCCCCCCAUGGCUGCCUCAUCUGCAUUGUAUCCACGUACAUGUGAUUGUGUCCAAUAUAAGAGUUAAAAAAUAC